UGCCCCAUUCCUGUUCUGGCCCUGCCAUGGGUCCCAGGCUUCUCCACUGUGUGGCCCUUUGUCUCCUUGGAGUAGGUUACAUGAGUGGCAUAGUCACCCAGAACCCAAGAUACCAGGUUACCAGGAUGGGAAAACCAGUGACCCUGAGUUGCUCUCAGGACCUAAAUCAUGAUGUCAUGUACUGGUACCAACAGAAGCUGAACCGAGCCCCAAAGCUGCUGUUCUACUACUAUGAUCAGAAUUUUAACAAUGAAACAGACACCUCAGACAACUUCCAACCCAGCCGGCCUAAUACUUCCUUCUGUUCUAUGGAUAUCCGCUCACCGGGCUUGGGGGACUCCGCAGUGUAUCUCUGUGCCAGCAGCAAGUACACAGAGCUAGAGCGUUACCUCCUCUCUGCUCAUAAACCUGUUUCCAAAUCCAAGAGCCCUCUCUAGACACCCCC
Myotis daubentonii (Daubenton's bat) is the source of this 445-nucleotide non-coding RNA. The record is from the annotation of a RefSeq genome assembly. Lineage: Eukaryota; Metazoa; Chordata; Mammalia; Chiroptera; Vespertilionidae.